UUUGGAAUAGCUCAGUCGGUAAAGCGGGAGACUCUUAAUCUCAAGGUUAUGGGUUCAAGCCCCGCCUCGGGCAAAA
Non-coding RNA from Podarcis lilfordi (Lilford's wall lizard), 76 nucleotides. The record is from the annotation of a GenBank genome assembly. NCBI's taxonomy places the organism in Eukaryota, Metazoa, Chordata, Lepidosauria, Squamata, Lacertidae.